UCCUGUGCCUCGCCUCUCCAGGUCAUUGGGCCAGAACUCCUGGGCUGGGCGGGGUGAGAGGCCAAGAGGCCCAGCCCAGGGUGAAUCUGCAUUGGGUUGAUCACACUGCAGUGGAUCCGUUCCUCAGCGAAAUAUUGCUCAGGUGUGGAUACGAGUUAGUCACAUAACAUUUGCCUACACUGCAGUAACACCCCCCUCUCCCACUGGCCUGAGCCAGGUGACACAGGCUGUUCAACAGGGUGUUGAUACUCAGGUCUGGGUGGAGAUGAGGCUCUAGGACCCUGCAGGGGGGGAGUGCUGGCUCAAACUGCAGCUGGUGCUCCAGGAGCCUGACUCAGCUGGCACAGGCUAGCCAGGGUGCCUUGCCGCAGUGUAGGCAGGUGGCUGACAUGUUGCUCGGGAGACUGAUGCUCAGACUUCAAGCAAGAUGCUGGGCCAGGGCCGGGGGUAUAUGCUGUGCUCCCCAAGGUGCAGCUGCUGGGCCUGGCAUUCUCCUGGGGGACAGUGAGUUCAGUGUGGGAGAGAAAAGCCCCUGGAAUCUACAGUGGGUACCUUGUGUCUGUGCGGUGAGAGGGUGGGGACAGCUGCACUGUAGCCCCUGCCAUGGCUGGGACGCUGCAUUGUGUAUGCAAAUUACAAAAGCACGAUGGGGCUUGUGUGCAGGCAUCUCAUUAGACUUCAUCCUAUGCUGGGACUGAAGGCCUGAGGGGUCAGUAGGCAUGAGGGGCAGGACUGUUAUGGAGACCAAGACAGGGGAGCAGCUGCUGGGGGUGAUGUGGGUGAGAGAGGAUCAGGCAGCGCACGGGGUGAUGGGCCAUGUGGAGGGAGGAUGCAGCAGAUGAUCAAGGAGCAUCUGUACUUCUAGAAAGAAACAGGCAGAACCUCUCCAGCUCACUCAGGCUUUUGACCCCUUUGGGCACAGAUAGGUAGGUGUGGCUCAUACCAACUGGUCUCCUCUCACUCCUGUGCUGGCACGGCCUACUCAGGUACGAACGUGGGUGGCUGCUGAGCCACAGAGCUAUUUUAGUGCACUAGCUUGAGUAGACGAGUGUAGCUCUAUCACUUGGUUUGAUGCUCACGCCUCUUUAUUUCAUCAGCUGGGCCUGGCGAUCCAGUGGGAGCCCCGCUCCGUGCUGCUCCCACCCUGCCCUGCCUCGGGGAGGGGAAAGCAUGCACCUCGGGAGCUUUCAGACGUGCAUCCAGAGCUCUGCUAGCACCUCGUUCUGACUGACUUUAAAUGAUCUCUCAGCUCCGAUAUGCAGCCUCCCUCUACCGAGCCCUCUGGCCAAGAGACUGCAUGUGGACUGGGGCUACAGGAAUCCCUUGCCCAGCAGGCCUCAUCCCUCUGCCUGGCCUCUUACCACCUCAGCAUGCUGAACGUUGGCCUCCCCUCUGAGCCACCCUUCUGCCUGGAUGGGCCUAGGCAGGGCAGGUGCUCGGCCAUUGGGCUGAAGAGUGAAAUAUUGUUGGUGGCUCUCUGAUGUUCAAAGCCUGCCCCAGAGGCUGUAGCUCCCAAAGGGGUUUCUCAGUGCUGCAGGUCACACUCUCAUUACCUGAUCUGGGGCCUGCUGUUGUUUCUUUUCCAGGUCCUGCUUUCCAGAAGGAGCCAUUUGCUGUUGGAGACCCACAAUUCAUGCAUAACCUCUCUGCUCAGCCCUGGCAGAUGAAAAUGGCCAACCUUACCUAUGACAACUUCACCAAUGGCAACCGAUCUGAGGUGGCCUUGCAGCAUCCUUCUAACCACUAUAAAACUGUAGAGCUCGUCUUCAUUGCCACGGUAACAGGCUCGCUCAGUCUGGUCACUGUGGUGGGGAACAUCCUGGUCAUGCUGUCCAUCAAAGUGAACCGCCAGCUUCAGACUGUGAACAACUACUUCCUUUUCAGCCUGGCUUGUGCUGACCUGAUCAUCGGGGUCUUUUCCAUGAACCUCUACACUGUCUAUAUCAUCAAAGGUUAUUGGCCUCUGGGGGCUGUGGUGUGUGACCUCUGGCUGGCGCUGGACUAUGUGGUGAGCAACGCCUCUGUCAUGAACUUACUCAUCAUCAGUUUUGACCGGUAUUUCUGUGUCACCAAGCCCCUGACUUACCCGGCUCGUAGGACCACCAAGAUGGCAGGGCUGAUGAUUGCAGCAGCUUGGAUAUUGUCCUUUGUUCUCUGGGCUCCUGCCAUUUUGUUCUGGCAGUUCAUUGUUGGGAAGAGGACAGUCCCGGAGCGGGAGUGCUACAUCCAGUUCCUGUCUAAUCCAGCUGUGACUUUUGGCACAGCCAUUGCUGCUUUCUACCUCCCAGUGGUUAUCAUGACUGUGCUUUACAUUCACAUCUCCUUGGCCAGCAGGAGCCGAGUGCGGAGGCACAAACCAGAGAGCAAGAAGGAGAAGAGCGCUAAGCCACUCAGCUUCUUUAAGAGCCCGCUGAUCAAACAGAACAACAACAAUUCUCCCAAGAGGGCAGUGGAGGUGAAGGAGGAGGUGAGGAAUGGUAAAGUGGAGGACCAACCCUUAGCACAGACAGAGGCUGCAGGCCAGCAAGAAGAGAAGGAGACCUCCAAUGAAUCCAGCACAGUCAGUAUCACCCAGACCACAAAAGAGAAGCAGAUGGCAGAAAUUUUACCAGCUGGGCAAGGGCAGAGUCCUGCCCCCCCACGGGUUAACGUGGCCUCCAAGUGGUCCAAAAUUAAGAUAGUCACCAAGCAGACUGGUACUGAAUGUGUCACAGCCAUUGAGAUUGUCCCAGCUAAGACAGCGGCCUCUGCCCAGAACACCCUGUCGAACAGUCGCCCAGCCAAUGUUGCCAGGAAGUUUGCCAGCAUUGCCAGGAGUCAGGUGCGGAAGAAGCGCCAGAUGGCAGCCAGGGAGAAAAAAGUCACCCGAACCAUAUUUGCCAUCCUGCUUGCCUUCAUUUUAACAUGGACUCCUUACAAUGUGAUGGUCCUUAUUAAUACCUUCUGUGAGACCUGCGUGCCAGAGACAGUGUGGUCUAUUGGGUACUGGCUCUGCUAUGUCAACAGCACCAUCAACCCAGCCUGCUAUGCCCUCUGUAAUGCCACUUUCAAGAAAACCUUUAAGCACCUUCUCAUGUGCCAGUACAGGAACAUUGGCACCGCCAGAUAAGCUGCACUGAGGGACUGCUUGGCAGGGUUGCAAAGACUCAUUCCUUUGCCUCUUCUUUUAGGGAGUUCUCUGCUCCCCACUCACAAGAGACAUGGACGGUUCAGAGCUUCCACACGACGCCCUUCUCCCAGUGCGGAAGAAAAUCCAAAGCAGCUGUCAGAUCCAGCUCUUGUAAUCGUUUUCAGCCUAGGGAGUCACCUGAGGAGCCCUCAGCUCAACACAAAGAGCAGCGCCUCUUCCUACACAACCUCUGCCUCUGCACUGGAAGAAAACAAGGAAGAGCAUGUCCCUACCACCAGGUGCCAUGGUUACCUUGAACUCCACGUGGCUCUUCCCUCUGGUAACGUUGGCUGAUUUGGCAGCUAUCUUUUGUUCUCUAGGUAAAACCAUGGAGUUUCUAAAUGGGUUCCCUGCUGAUCACACCUGUGUGCUGGCUUGUGUCACUGUGCAACAAGACACCACGUAACUGAAAUCCUUCUCCCACCAACUGAGCAUCCUGAUGGCUUUGCAGUGAGCAUGGAGAGAAGGUUCCUGGUGUCAUGAGGGGUUCAACAGGGUCUUAAACCCAAGAGAAAAAGCCACUUUGUCAUACAUCAGGUGUCCAAUGAUUCCUUUUGGAUGAGCCUGGACUGGCUGGAAAAGGCCCGUUAGACUACCAGGCUGUCUCCCUGGGGCCAGGAUGGGAUUGUUCUCAAUCAUGCAUUCUCUAGUGGCUUUAAUCAUCCCAAGGAAUGGAUGGGGCUCCCCCCUUCCCUCUGGGGAGGUGACUUUCUGGCCUGAGCCAUCCGCUGUCCAUCCUCAGGGUUCCCUUUCUGAACUCCAUCCCCUCCCUGCAGGGGCUGGAGGUAGAGCCUGAUGGAGUGAGACACUUGUUUCUAGGUGAUAAGCAUAACAUCAAAUGUCAUCCUGAAAAGCAAAAGAGCUUUUAAAACUGCAAGGAAAAAAAUGUCAGUGUGCGAGAUUUAUCUGCUCAGCCCUGAGGGAAUGUGACCUCUGGGACCUGUGUGUGGCAGCAUUAAAAAUAACUAUCCGGGGAAGGGGUGCACUGCUUAAAGGACAGCAAUGCAGAGAGAAACUGCUCCUGCUGCUGAAAAUCGGCUCAGUGGUGGGGAGGAAGAGGCUGUGGAGUUAUUUGGGGUGGCCAAGGCUCCGUUAGGGUCAUGUGGGCUGCAGUGCGUGUGUUCCUCUGGCAGAAGGGACACUCCACCUUUGGGGCUCUGGACCUGGGCAGGGGACAGGAAGGUGUGACAACGUGGCUGUCCCCAGAGGCUGCUGUCCCAGGUGCCAAGAAGCACCAGGGGUGGGAGAAGGAGCUGGCCACAGAGCUUUGUAAAUGGAAUAAUCCUCUCGUCAGUGUUGUCAUGGAGUCCUCAGCAUGUGGGGUUCAAUGUAAAUGUACAGCCCAAGCCCUAGUGUAUUGUGUACAGGACAAACCAAUUCAUGCUGUUGCUCAGCUUCUCCCAAAGGCAAACGCUGUCUGCCCUCCUGGGCCCAGUCAGACAGCUGGGUGGGGCACAGGGGCUGUCCUGCACUGGGGUGGGGGAAGGGGAACAGAGGUGAGCAGAGUCCAUCAGGGGCUGGGUGCGAUUCUACGUGUCUGUACAGAGGGUCUCCCUGCCACUCCCCCAGGGAUAUUGUGCAACUUGGACAAAGGCCAAUUACUUUGACCGGCAAUGGCGUCAGCCUCACUGCUGCUGCCUUUUGGCUAAUUUGCAUAGUGUUACCCAAAAUGCCUUGCGUUUUGUUUUUUUUAAUCGUAACAACUCCAGUGGAACCCACUUAAAUGAAUAAAGGAAUCAAACUUGAAACCAAA
Non-coding RNA from Pelodiscus sinensis (Chinese soft-shelled turtle), 4922 nucleotides. Lineage: Eukaryota; Metazoa; Chordata; Testudines; Trionychidae. The record is from RefSeq and is a predicted model, not a curated record.